Molecule: long non-coding RNA, 1078 nt
Organism: Bombyx mori (domestic silkworm)
Lineage: Eukaryota; Metazoa; Arthropoda; Insecta; Lepidoptera; Bombycidae
Exons: 2
Source: RefSeq, a predicted model, not a curated record
CUUCACGAGGCCAGUUAGUCGGCGGCAAAUCCCUGGAAUAUAUGUUAUUCCAAUCCGCAUAUCUAUCAUCUUGCUGUAAUAAAAUACAUAAAAAAUUAGGAGGAGGAAAUCGCCGAACUCCCACCCUCCACUGGGGAUAGCGGGCGGGGUAUGUCGGAGUCGAACCGACUAAAACCUAAACUAAAAUCCACGUCCGAGCCUCGCAUGAGACAGAACUCAUGAAAAGGCAAAGCGGGGAGAGUGAAGCGCUUAGUGCGGAGCACAUCUUCCCAUCACCCUCCCGCUCGGGACGCCGGGCCGGCGGUCGUCGGCGCCACGACCACCAGCCCUUUCGGUCGGCAGGCUGUCCGAAGCCCGGUUAGAUGGUUAAGCUAUUAUAUAGUUGAUACGAUACUUAAAACGCCUCAAACUUCAGAAUUUUAUGUACUUUCUAUUCUAGAGUUUAUUUACUUGUCUUAUAAAUUGGGUUAUGAACAAAAGCAUCAAGGUUUUAUUAGUCGCUUGUUUUAUACCGAAACGUCAGAAGUCCGAUAAACAACAAUAUCUUGUAUUUCAUACCAGAAAGUAAUCAUUUAUGUCAAUCAUGCGGAGCAAAUACAUGUGUCGAACAUCCUAUCUUUAAAUCGAACUAAAUGAAAUAAGACAUCAUAAAAUGUAUAGUAGAUUAUUUUUUUAGGUUAUCACGAGUCGUGGCCAUGUUAUAAAAAAACACUAUUAAUUGUUUAACUUCAUACUCGUGUCGUGUGGCAUUUAUGAGUUCUGUAACCUCAGAACCGAAAAAUAUUUUGUGAUUAAAUAAAUAAAUUUCCAUUAAAUUUUAAUUGGAAAUUGAUCAAGAAUUUAUCUUUGAUCCGUGUUAUACGUACAAGCAACCAACAUCAUGGAAAAUAGUUACCUAAAAAUCGACAGUAAUACCAAAAGCACUGCACUUUUCCUUGGAAUAAAAUUCUAGAAGGUGGCAAAUGUUUAAGCAGUAAAAAAAUGACGCAAAAGAUUGGUUCUAAUGUUACAUUGUACGUUGUAUUCCAAGAAAAUAUAAAUUAUUUAUCAUCAUAAAUAAAAAUUAAUUCUAUAAAAA